UGCGCGAGUCAUAGGGACUUAACGAAUCCUAAAGGCGUAAUGAAAGUAAAAGUUUUCCUUGUGUUAACUUAGGGCAGAUGGAUAGUGUCACGGCACUGUCUCGCAUGCCCGGGGCGUCCUAAUCUCAUUGCGAGAUGGGGCGCACCUAGAGCGUACAUGCUGGGACCCGAAAGAUGGUGAACUAUGCCUGGUCAGGACGAAGUCAGGGGAAACCCUGAUGGAGGUCCGUAGCGAUUCUGACGUGCAAAUCGAUCGUAAGAACUGGGUAUAGGGGCGAAAGACUAAUCGAACCAUCUAGUAGCUGGUUCCCUCCGAAGUUUCCCUCAGGAUAGCUGGCACUCGAUCAACGAGUCUCAUCCGGUAAAGCGAAUGAUUAGAGGCAUUGGGGUCGAAACGGCCUCAACCUAUUCUCAAACUUUAAAUGGGUGAGAUCUCCGGCUUGUUUAAAUGUUAAUAAAGCCGUGAGUUUUCGGAUCAGAGUGCCAAGUGGGCCACUUUUGGUAAGCAGAACUGGCGCUGUGGGAUGAACCAAACGCCGAGUUAAAGCGCCAAAACGACGCUUAUGGGACACCAUGAAAGGCGUUG
RNAcentral lists this ribosomal RNA (585 nucleotides) under Ochthebius tudmirensis. RNAcentral's name for it is "eukaryotic LSU rRNA". It matches the Rfam family "Eukaryotic large subunit ribosomal RNA", at positions 683 to 1226 of the family's 3401-position model. Lineage: Eukaryota; Metazoa; Arthropoda; Insecta; Coleoptera; Hydraenidae. The record is from RNAcentral.